RNAcentral lists this ribosomal RNA (468 nucleotides) under uncultured bacterium. Its description in RNAcentral is "partial 16S ribosomal RNA". It matches the Rfam family "Bacterial small subunit ribosomal RNA", at positions 28 to 507 of the family's 1533-position model. The record is from RNAcentral.
GAUGAACGCUGGCGGCGUGCUUAACACAUGCAAGUCGAACGGAAAGGCCCACGCUUGCUUGGGUACUCGAGUGGCGAACGGGUGAGUAAAACGUGGGUGACCUGCCCUGCACUUCGGGAUAAGCCUGGGAAACUGGGUCUAUUACCGGAUAGGACGAUUGUUUGGAUGCGGUUGUGGAAAGGUUUUUGGGGGUGGGGUGAGCUCGCGGCCUUUCAGCUUUUUGGUGGGGGUAUGGCCUACCAAGGGGUCUGCGGGUUAGCGGCCCGGGAGGGGGUACGGGCACAUUGGGACAGAGAUACGGCGCAGACUCCUAUGGGGGGCGGAAGUGGGGGAUAUUGUACAAAGGGCGCAAGCCUGAUGCAGAGACGCCGCGUGGGGGGUGACGGCGUUCGGGUUGUAAACUCCUUUCGCUAGGGAGGAAGCGUUUUUGUGACGGUACCUGGAGAAGAAGCACCGGCUAACUACGUG